RNAcentral lists this ribosomal RNA (460 nucleotides) under uncultured bacterium. RNAcentral's name for it is "partial 16S ribosomal RNA". It matches the Rfam family "Bacterial small subunit ribosomal RNA", at positions 338 to 795 of the family's 1533-position model. The record is from RNAcentral.
CCUACGGGUGGCUGCAGUGAGGAAUAUUGGUCAAUGGGCGCGAGCCUGAACCAGCCAAGUAGCGAGAAGGAUGACUGCCCUACGGGUUGUAAACUUCUUUUAUAAAGGAAUAAAGUGAGUCACGUGUGCCUUUUUUUAUGUACUUUAUGAAUAAGGAUCGGCUAACUCCGUGCCAGCAGACGCGGUAAUACGGAGGAUCCGAUCGUUAUCCGGAUUUAUUGGGUUUAAAGGGAGCGUAGAUGGGUUGUUACGUCAGUUGUGAAAGUUUGCGGCUCAACCGUAAAAUUGCAAUUGAUACUGGCAGCCUUGAGUACAGUUGAGGUAGGCGGAAUUCGUGGUGUAGCGGUGAAAUGAUUAGAUAUCACGAAGAACUCCGAUUGCGAAGGCAGCCUACUAAACUGCCACUGACAUUGAUGCUCGAAAGUGUGGGUAUCAAACAGGAUUAGAUACCCCGGUAGUC